CAGCCGCCACGGUAAUACGGAGGGGGCUAGCGUUGUUCGGAAUUACUGGGCGUAAAGCGCACGUAGGCGGCUUGGUAAGUUAGAGGUGAAAGCCUGGAGCUCAACUCCAGAAUUGCCUUUAAGACUGCCGAGCUAGCAGGUGAGAGAGGUAAGUGGAAUUCCGAGUGUAGAGGUGAAAUUCGUAGAUAUUCGGAAGAACACCAGUGGCGAAGGCGGCUUACUGGCUCAUACUGGACGCUGAGGUGCGAAAGCGUGGGGAGCAAACAGGAUUAGAGACCCCGGUAGUCCCUGUCUCUUAUAC
RNAcentral lists this ribosomal RNA (301 nucleotides) under uncultured bacterium. Its description in RNAcentral is "partial 16S ribosomal RNA". It matches the Rfam family "Bacterial small subunit ribosomal RNA", at positions 509 to 807 of the family's 1533-position model. The record is from RNAcentral.